UGGGGAAUCUUGGACAAUGGGCGCAAGCCUGAUCCAGCCAUGCCGCGUGAGUGAAGAAGGCCUUCGGGUUGUAAAGCUCUUUUUACCAGGGACGAUAAUGACGGUACCCGCAGAAUAAGCUCCGGCUAACUUCGUGCCAGCAGCCGCGGUAAUACGAAGGGAGCUAGCGUUGUUCGGAAUCACUGGGCGUAAAGCGCACGUAGGCGGAUGUGUCAGUCAGGGGUGAAAUCCCGGAGCUCAACUUCGGAACUGCCCCUUGAUACAGCACGUCUUGAGUCCGAUAGAGGUGGGUGGAAUUCCUAGUGUAGAGGUGAAAUUCGUAGAUAUUAGGAAGAACACCGGUGGCGAAGGCGGCCCACUGGAUCGGUACUGACGCUGAGGUGCGAAAGCGUGGGGAGCAAACAGGAUUAGAUACCCCAGUAGUCCCUGAGCGGGCUGGCAAGGCGCAU
Molecule: ribosomal RNA, 449 nt
Filed under: uncultured bacterium
Lineage: Bacteria
Description: bacterial SSU rRNA
Rfam family: Bacterial small subunit ribosomal RNA
Source: RNAcentral